GUUUGUUAAUGGGAAAUUUCAUUGGCUUGAUAAGCACUGGAACAUUAUUUCUAUGGAUUUGGCGGGUGAGAAAUGGGAAGAGGUUGAUCAGCCCUGCUGUUUUAAAGGAUGUGGAUUUUUGAAGCUAGGAGUGUUUGAGAGUGAUCUUUCUGUGUUUUGUAAUUACGCGUGGACUCAUGUUGAUGUAUGGGUUAUGAAGGAAUAUGGAGUAAAAGAAUCUUGGACAAAGAUGUUCACCGUCAAGUCACCCGAAGAUUCUGGGGGACGUAUAUUUUAUCCAAUUAUUUUAAUGUCAAAUGAAGGUGAAAUUUUGCUUAAGUUUGGAUCACGUUUCGUGAAAUACAAUCCAAAGGAUGACUCAAUCAGAUAUCUAGAUGUUACUAAGUUAGCUCCAUGUCUUGAGGUACAAAUAUAUGUUAAGAGCCUAGUUUGCCCUUUUUACUGAUGAGAUCGCGAUUUCACCAACAAAGCAGGCCGAAAUAAUUCUGAUGAAGACAAUUGUGUGAUUGAUACCUGUAAGAGUUACACUCUAUGCAAUUUUCUCAAGUGUUGUUAAAUUCUAC
Molecule: unclassified non-coding RNA, 563 nt
Filed under: Hevea brasiliensis (rubber tree)
Lineage: Eukaryota; Viridiplantae; Streptophyta; Magnoliopsida; Malpighiales; Euphorbiaceae
Source: RNAcentral